This 267-nucleotide ribosomal RNA is filed under the name uncultured Atopobium sp. RNAcentral's name for it is "partial 16S ribosomal RNA". It matches the Rfam family "Bacterial small subunit ribosomal RNA", at positions 89 to 354 of the family's 1533-position model. Lineage: Bacteria; Bacillati; Actinomycetota; Coriobacteriia; Coriobacteriales; Atopobiaceae. The record is from RNAcentral.
UAUAAAGUGGCGAACGGCUGAGUAACACGUGGGCAACCUGCCCUUUGCACUGGGAUAGCCUCGGGAAACCGAGGUUAAUACCGGAUACUCCAUAUUUGUCGCAUUGCGAAUAUGGGAAAGCUCCGGCGGCAAAGGAUGGGCCCGCGGCCUGUUAGCUAGUUGGUGGGGUAGUGGCCUACCAAGGCAAUGAUGGGUAGCCGGGUUGAGAGACCGACCGGCCAGAUUGGGACUGAGACACGGCCCAGACUCCUACGGGAGGCAGCAGAA